RNAcentral lists this ribosomal RNA (497 nucleotides) under uncultured bacterium. Its description in RNAcentral is "partial 16S ribosomal RNA". It matches the Rfam family "Bacterial small subunit ribosomal RNA", at positions 28 to 507 of the family's 1533-position model. The record is from RNAcentral.
GAUGAACGCUGGCGGCGUGCCUAACACAUGCAAGUCGAGCGAACAGACGAGGCGCUUGCUCCUCUGACGUUAGCGGCGGACGGGUGAGUACCACGUGUAUAACCUACCUAUAAGACUGGGAUCACUUUGGGAAACCGGAUCUAAUACCGGAUAAUAUAUUGAACCGCAUGGUUCAAUAGUGAAAGACGGUUUUGCUGUCACUUAUAGAUGGAUCCGCGCCGGAUUAGCUAGUUGGUAAGGUAACGGCUUACCAAGGCGACGAUGCGUAGCCGACCUGAGAGGGUGAUCGGCCACACUGGAACUGAGACACGGUCCAGACUCCUACGGGAGGCAGCAGUAGGGAAUCUUACGCAAUGGGCGAAAGCCUGACGGAGCAACGCCGCGUGAGUGAUGAAGGUCUUCGGAUCGUAAAGCUCUGUUAUUAGGGAAGAACAAAUGUGUAAGUAAACAUGGCCGUCUUGACGGUACCUAAUCAGAAAGCCACGGCUAACUACGUG